Molecule: long non-coding RNA, 151 nt
Organism: Ipomoea nil (Japanese morning glory)
Lineage: Eukaryota; Viridiplantae; Streptophyta; Magnoliopsida; Solanales; Convolvulaceae
Exons: 3
Source: RefSeq, a predicted model, not a curated record
UUCGAUGUCAAUGAGAAACCAGGUAUAUCUCUCUUGUUUAGGAUGAGACUGAAGAAUGCAUUUCUUCCCAAGUCAAGGAGAAACCAGAUUUGAGACCCAUGCGUACAGCAAAACUGGAAAAUACUGCAAGACAAAUAGUAAAAAGAUUUAG